CCUUGACUGUGUUGUAAGUCGCUCUGGAUAAGAGCGUCUGCUAAAUGAUGUAAA
Non-coding RNA from Salmo salar (Atlantic salmon), 54 nucleotides. The record is from Rfam. NCBI's taxonomy places the organism in Eukaryota, Metazoa, Chordata, Actinopteri, Salmoniformes, Salmonidae.